Lates calcarifer (barramundi perch) is the source of this 2264-nucleotide long non-coding RNA. RefSeq lists it as uncharacterized. The transcript is spliced from 3 exons. The record is from RefSeq and is a predicted model, not a curated record. NCBI's taxonomy places the organism in Eukaryota, Metazoa, Chordata, Actinopteri, Centropomidae.
CCAAAAGUUUGACAUGACAAGUCCACACAGAUCCCCCCCACCUCCUCCUCCCGUCCUCCUCGUCCUGCUCUCCCAUCGGAAAGCAAAGCUGGGGAUGUACCACCAUGAUUGCGUUUGUUAUUGAGACAGAUAUGAUGUGUUCCUCUGUUUACCUUCACUACUCAGCAAACACAACCCCUGUCCCAGCUGGAUGAAGCUGAAGCUGAAUAUACAGAGUCUCUGCUGUCUGGGAGUUUGCACUUGUACCUGUUUAUAUCACAGCUUCUCUUUCAUGUGAAAGUUUUUGCUUUGGUCAUAAUUGUUUUCAUGGCUAGAAACUUCUUAUUGACUCAAGAUGAUGGAGGAAGUGUGGAGGCCAAAUAUGUGUUUGUGUUGCUUCUUUUUUUUCUCUCCUCUAGGAAAAUUCCUGUGUUCCAUCAAGGUCAUGGUCAUCCCGACAGAGCUGAAAACAAAAAUCAGUUUAUCAAUAUUUCAGGCUGACUGUCGUCUCCAGUGAGGACAUGAGGGACUUUUUUUAGACGCAGUGCAGCGCAGACAAAACAGACAACCUGUCCUGGUUUCUAAGGCUGGAGCAGACUGGGAAACAGGUAAACACAGAAACAUACAACGUUGCUGAUUGCAGCAGGAUUUCGAUUAAGUCUGAUCGACAGUGUAAAGGAAAGUCUGUGUGUUAUUAUCCCUGAAUAUUUUUUCUUGUCACACCCCAUCCAGCUUCCUCUUCUCCUCACUGGACUUUACUGUGAUCCAGGAUGUAAUGAUAAAUAUACGUGUAAAACGAACCAACUCAAACUUAAAUCAUUAGCUUGUUUUUUCCCUCAUUACAAUUAAUCGCAUCCAAAAAUAUAACCUCUCUAAUAUUCAGUUAUUAGAGUUAAUUAAUCUUAAUCAGUGACCGAAUUAAAGCAGAUGUGCGACGAGAUCAACGAGGUAAAUAUCGAUAACGUUACUUUGUCACUUUAGUCGCAAUAAUUUCACUCCUGAAAUAUCGCGCGAAGAUCGAAACGUUAAAGAGUGAGAUUUUUUUUCUUUUAAUUUAGCAGCAGUCCGUAUUUUAUAUUUAUAUUCAGCGCCUGUCAAAAGCAUUCAACUGUUCUGUGUAGGAUGAUGAGGAUGGAGAUGAUGAUGAUGAUGAUGGAGAUGAUGAUGGAGAUGGAGGGAGUGGAUUCCGCCUUCUCCAUCAGCCAAAACUCCAAUACGCACUUGAGCCAAUUAAUUAGAAGCAGGACACAAAUAAUAUUCUUGCCUUAGUUUUAUUAUAUAUAAUAAUAUCAGCCUAAUAUCUGAGCUACCGAACAUCUUUGUGGGCCUUAAUAUCCGAUUGGAUCAGAUUACAGUACAUCUUCAUCUUCAUCCUGCAAAGCUGCAGGAAGCUAAAUUAAAGCCAGAGGCACAAAGAAACAAACUAACUCACUUAAGAUCAAAUCACUUACAUCAUCAAGUCGAUAAAAUCUGAAAUCCAUCAUCAUACAAUGAGCAAAUUCAGUGCAUAAGAGCAGCGUUAGAAAAUAACUAAGUACAUAUACUCAAGUAGAACUUCGAGGUUGUACUUAACUGGAGUUUUUCCUUUUUCCGCCACUCUAUUUCAGUUCAGACAAAUAUUGUACAUUUAACUCACUGCACUACAUUUAUUGAUAACUUUGGUUACUGGUUAGUUUAUAUAUUUAUAUUAUUUAUAUAAAAUAUAAUCAACAAAUAAAUUAUGAAGUGUUAUUGUAGGUCAAGAUAAAACUUUUAUUGAUCCUCGGGUGAAAUUCACCAGCUGCCACCCAGCAGAAAGUAAAACCAUUAAAUUAGCUGCAGCAUUAAUGUGAUAUAAACAUUAACGUAGCAAUAGUUAUAAUCCAGUGUUAUGAUUCCGAAAUGUCAACUUAAUUAGCACCUUUCCUUAGGUACCUUAAACUAUACAUAUACUUGUGUACUUUUACUUUCUAAGUCUUCUUGAGUGCAUUGACUGUAACUUGUAACAGAGUAGUUUUACACUGUGAUAUUGUUACGUUUACUUAAGUAAAAGAUCUGAGUGCUUCAUCCAUCACUGCAUAAUAAGUCUAAAUAACAAGCUAAAUAACACAGCUAAUUCCAGAGUUUAAAAUAAAAAAAUUAAAAAAUAAAAUAAAAUAAAAAAACAAUGGGCGACUAUGUUAACAGUAAUGACCAUUAACAGUCGCGGAAAUCGUGGAAAAUUAAGUUGUUUCCCAACUCUGAGUUUAUGGCAAAUAACAUUUUAAUGGAGGCAACAACUAGAACAGCUCAACUGGAAAGUUAAA